CAAGUCGAGCGGUAGAGAGAAGCUUGCUUCUCUUGAGAGCGGCGGACGGGUGAGUAAUGCCUAGGAAUCUGCCUGGUAGUGGGGGAUAACGUUCGGAAACGGACGCUAAUACCGCAUACGUCCUACGGGAGAAAGCAGGGGACCUUCGGGCCUUGCGCUAUCAGAUGAGCCUAGGUCGGAUUAGCUAGUUGGUGGGGUAAUGGCUCACCAAGGCGACGAUCCGUAACUGGUCUGAGAGGAUGAUCAGUCACACUGGAACUGAGACACGGUCCAGACUCCUACGGGAGGCAGCAGUGGGGAAUAUUGGACAAUGGGCGAAAGCCUGAUCCAGCCAUGCCGCGUGUGUGAAGAAGGUCUUCGGAUUGUAAAGCACUUUAAGUUGGGAGGAAGGGUUGUAGAUUAAUACUCUGCAAUUUUGACGUUACCGACAGAAUAAGCACCGGCUAACUCUGUGCCAGCAGCCGCGGUAAUACAGAGGGUGCAAGCGUUAAUCGGAAUUACUGGGCGUAAAGCGCGCGUAGGUGGUUUGUUAAGUUGGAUGUGAAAUCCCCGGGCUCAACCUGGGAACUGCAUUCAAAACUGACUGACUAGAGUAUGGUAGAGGGUGGUGGAAUUUCCUGUGUAGCGGUGAAAUGCGUAGAUAUAGGAAGGAACACCAGUGGCGAAGGCGACCACCUGGACUAAUACUGACACUGAGGUGCGAAAGCGUGGGGAGCAAACAGGAUUAGAUACCCUGGUAGUCCACGC
This 747-nucleotide ribosomal RNA is filed under the name Pseudomonas sp. Y4_255_3. RNAcentral describes it as "bacterial SSU rRNA". It matches the Rfam family "Bacterial small subunit ribosomal RNA", at positions 58 to 800 of the family's 1533-position model. The record is from RNAcentral. Lineage: Bacteria; Pseudomonadati; Pseudomonadota; Gammaproteobacteria; Pseudomonadales; Pseudomonadaceae.